UGUAGUAAAGAUUGUUUGCCAACAUAACAUGGCAGUCAUGGUUUAGGACUAAUGUUGCUGUAAUUUAGCCCCAGGAGACAUUGUCUCCAGCUGGCUAUACGACACAAUCUGUGACCUUAUAUUUUCGAACAAGGGAAUCUAACACCCCCACUCAGCUCAAAACAAUAUCUGUGUAUCGCGAUUUCUGAGUUAUUUCUCUUCAUUAGUAUAGAAUAAUUGUUUGGCUAGAGGUUUAUUCUUUAUUACAGGCACAAGGCCUAACACAGAGGGGACAUACACAAACAUGCGGGAACAAAAAACACAUGGAAGGAUGAAUAUAAAAUGAAUUAAAUUACAAUGAAAAUGAGAUGGCUAUCUUGCUCCUGCUCUGAGGUGAAACCGUGAAUUCCUUUUUCCUUUAAAACUUUACAUUUUAUGUAACAAUUUCCAGCCCCACUCCAAGGUGAAACCAUGACUUUCCUUUUCAUUUUCACCUUACAAUUUUAAAACAUUUUAAACAAAUGUUCAUUCAUAUAGUUACAGAAUUUACUUAUUUUCUUUUUCUUUUUCAUUUUUAAACAAAAAGUUUAACCAAAUGUUUUUCUCAAUCUUUCACAUUCUUUAAAUUAAAUCACGACUUACUGCUUCAUCCUCUCCCUUUCACCCACAUAAUUCUCCAACGAGGCACAAGGUUCAACAUCCACCUCCGGCCUGUGGGUUCACUCUUUCAAUUCUGAAACUCUUUUAACUAUUAGGGUGUCCUACUUUUUUUAAAAAUCCUGCUUCUGUCUGUAUCUUGCAUGUCUGAUUUUUUUUGACUUUGUAUUUCUGCAAUUCUUGUCCUUCUUGUGAUUGUGUUUGUGUGUUCGUUUGACAGUAAUUCUGCGUGUUUCAUCUGUGUGUCUAUGUCUUUAUGUUUCCUUAAUUCUGAAUUAUCUUGUUUCUGUACAUCUAUACCUCUGUGCUUUUGCAUGUCUAUGUGCUUGAGUGUCUGAAUGUUUCUGUAUUUGUAAGUCCUUUACUGGUAAUCCUACAGGUGAAUCUUCCUCAUUUCUCAUCAUAGGUUGGCUUACGUCUUCCAUUUCUUUGUACUUCUUCAGUUCCACUAUCGUUGGUAACUUCCUCUUCUCUCUUUUUCUUGCUUUCACCUCUUCAAAAUUCCUGUCUUGUUCUGUUAUCUGUUUCUGCUGUCUCUCUACCAUUAUAUUCUCCUGAAUACUCUCCUCUACAAUUCCCACUGCUGCUCUUUGGCAUUGCUUUCUCAAGUGCCCUCAUUCACCACAUUCGUAACAUUUUGGGGGUCUUCCUUCCAACAUUAUCUCUAGCUUUUCUUCAUUUGGUAGCCCUAAAAUUUCAGGUAUUUCAUUGUAAUAUUUUGGGUUCACUGCACAAAUUAUCUCUAAUCUGUAGCCCCAUCCCUUCACUUGUUGGGUUUGGCUUAUCAUGCCCAUCUUCACUUCUUUGCUUUCCUUCCUCAUCUCUGAAUAAAAAAUCACGGCUAUUAUCCACUCUUGGUCUAUCCACGAUGGGAUUCUUACCACCCUAAUUCUGACAACUCUUUUGUCCAAACAGUUUGGCAUCAAAGUCCAUUUUUCUCCCUGUAUCAGCCUGUUGGAGGUUUUUUUCUGCCUGCUCUUCUGAUAAAAAGAUUACCACUAUCGACACAUAUCACUUUCCUCUCGUAAAGAACAUUAUACUGUCUCCUAUAAGUUCUUCCAAAAUUUCUUCUAUUUCUUCCAGCGUGUGUUCAAUUCUAUUUUUAUUCGAAAAUGUUCCGAAUAUCACCAUCUUCUUUUCCAUUUUCACUUUUCCCCCUCUGGCAGGGUCAUUUUUAUAUUUGACCCUUCCUUCUCUACCAUACUACUAUAUUUCUUUAUCAGCUCUCCAUUCCACUGUAACAUCUGUUUCAGCACAUGUGGGUCUAGGGGAACUUGAUCUCCAGUAGCUUCUGCAUAACUUCUCAUUUUCCUCAGUUAUUCACCACCUCCCAACAUUGGUGGUUUCACACAAAAAAUUAGGCUAGAGUUCUUCAAAAACAACAAAAAAAAUUGUUCAGCUAGAGGUGGUGCUGCCAAAUUCCCAUUUGAAAUAUAUAGUUUUCAAAGUGACAACUAGUCACUGAUCUAUAAAUUAGAAAAUUACGAUUUUUAAAUCUCACAAUGUGAGGUAUUCAGCAACAGUACUUUGUAGUAAAGAUUGUUUGCCAACAUAACAUGGCAGUCCUGGUUUAGGAUUAAUGUUGCUGUAAUUUAGCCCCAGGAGACAUCGUCUCCAGCUGGUUCCAUGACAUGAUCUGUAUCCUUAUAUUUUCAAACAGCUCAAAACAAUAUCUGUGUAUUACUUUUCCAGGUUAUUUUCCUUCAUCAGCACAGAAUAAUUGUUUGGCUAGAGGUGGUGUUGCCAAAUUCCCAUUCGAAAUAUAUAGUUUUCAAAGUGACAACUAGUCACUGAUCUAUAAAUUAAAAAAUUGCUAUUUUUAAAUCUCACAACGCAAGUGGGGAUGCUAGAUUCCCUUGUUCGAAAAUAUAAGGACACAAAAUGUGUCAUAUAGCCAGCUGGAGACCAUGUCUCCUGGGGUUAAAUUACAGCAACAUUCAUCCUAAACCAGGACUGCCAUGUUAUGAUGGAAAACAAUCUUUACUACAAAGUACUGUUGCUGAAGAUCUCACGUUGUGAGAUGUAAAAAUAGUAAUUUU
This 2675-nucleotide long non-coding RNA is filed under the name Octopus vulgaris (common octopus). Lineage: Eukaryota; Metazoa; Mollusca; Cephalopoda; Octopoda; Octopodidae. The record is from RNAcentral.